UUUAGUACUUUAGUGGUUUUGGGUAUCAAUGGAGUACCUACAAAAAGACUAUGUGAAUUAAAUGCGCAAAACGAAUGUACGAAAGUCAUAAAUGCACUCUACACCGUUGAGAAUGGAGAAGGGAUGUAUAAAUCGGUAUCUGAAAUAUCACCAGAUUUGGGUCUUGCACAACCACUCGGAAAUGGACAGGAUCGAGAUA
This is a long non-coding RNA of Cotesia glomerata, 199 nucleotides long. RefSeq lists it as uncharacterized. The record is from RefSeq and is a predicted model, not a curated record. NCBI's taxonomy places the organism in Eukaryota, Metazoa, Arthropoda, Insecta, Hymenoptera, Braconidae. The transcript has 3 exons.